GAUGAACGCUGGCGGCGUGCCUAAUACAUGCAAGUCGAGCGAACGGACGAGAAGCUUGCUUCUCUGAUGUUAGCGGCGGACGGGUGAGUAACACGUGGAUAACCUACCUAUAAGACUGGGAUAACUUCGGGAAACCGUAGCUAAUACCGGAUAAUAUUUUGAACCGCAUGGUUCAAAAGUGAAAGACGGUCUUGCUGUCACUUAUAGAUGGAUCCGCGCUGCAUUAGCUAGUUGGUAAGGUAACGGCUUACCAAGGCAACGAUGCAUAGCCGACCUGAGAGGGUGAUCGGCCACACUGGAACUGAGACACGGUCCAGACUCCUACGGGAGGCAGCAGUAGGGAAUCUUCCGCAAUGGGCGAAAGCCUGACGGAGCAACGCCGCGUGAGUGAUGAAGGUCUUCGGAUCGUAAAACUCUGUUAUUAGGGAAGAACAGAUGUGUAAGUAACUGUGCACAUCUUGACGGUACCUAAUGAGAAAGCCACGGCUAACUACGUG
This 497-nucleotide ribosomal RNA is filed under the name uncultured bacterium. Its description in RNAcentral is "partial 16S ribosomal RNA". It matches the Rfam family "Bacterial small subunit ribosomal RNA", at positions 28 to 507 of the family's 1533-position model. The record is from RNAcentral.